GGGGGGGGGGUUCAAUGGUAGAAUUCUUGCCUUCCAUGCAGAAGAUCUGGGUUCAAUUCCCAGCCAACACA
Molecule: transfer RNA, 71 nt
Filed under: Loxodonta africana (African savanna elephant)
Lineage: Eukaryota; Metazoa; Chordata; Mammalia; Proboscidea; Elephantidae
Rfam family: tRNA
About the family: Transfer RNA (tRNA) molecules are approximately 80 nucleotides in length. Their secondary structure includes four short double-helical elements and three loops (D, anti-codon, and T loops).
Source: Rfam by way of RNAcentral